This 207-nucleotide ribosomal RNA is filed under the name uncultured bacterium. RNAcentral describes it as "partial 16S ribosomal RNA". It matches the Rfam family "Bacterial small subunit ribosomal RNA", at positions 568 to 774 of the family's 1533-position model. The record is from RNAcentral.
UGCGUAGGCGGGUCUUUAAGUCAGGGGUGAAAUCCUGGAGCUCAACUUCAGAACUGCCUUUGAUACUGAAGAUCUUGAGUUCGGGAGAGGUGAGUGGAACUGCGAGUGUAGAGGUGAAAUUCGUAGAUAUUCGCAAGAACACCAGUGGCGAAGGCGGCUCACUGGCCCGAUACUGACGCUGAGGCACGAAAGCGUGGGGAGCAAACA